UUGAACGCUGGCGGCAGGCCUAACACAUGCCAGUCGAGCGGAUGAAGGGAGCUUGCUCCUGGAUUCAGCGGCGGACGGGUGAGUAAUGCCUAGGAAUCUGCCUGGUAGUGGGGGAUAACGUCCGAAAACGGGCGCUAAUACCGCAUACGUCCUGAGGGAGAAAGUGGGGGAUCUUCGGACCUCACGCUAUCAGAUGAGCCUAGGUCGGAUUAGCUAGUUGGUGGGGUAAAGGCCUACCAAGGCGACGAUCCGUAACUGGUCUGAGAGGAUGAUCAGUCACACUGGAACUGAGACACGGUCCAGACUCCUACGGGAGGCAGCAGUGGGGAAUAUUGGACAAUGGGCGAAAGCCUGAUCCAGCCAUGCCGCGUGUGUGAAGAAGGUCUUCGGAUUGUAAAGCACUUUAAGUUGGGAGGAAGGGCAGUAAGUUAAUACCUUGCUGUUUUGACGUUACCAACAGAAUAAGCACCGGCUAACUUCGUG
This 483-nucleotide ribosomal RNA is filed under the name uncultured bacterium. RNAcentral describes it as "partial 16S ribosomal RNA". It matches the Rfam family "Bacterial small subunit ribosomal RNA", at positions 30 to 507 of the family's 1533-position model. The record is from RNAcentral.